This 279-nucleotide ribosomal RNA is filed under the name uncultured bacterium. Its description in RNAcentral is "partial 16S ribosomal RNA". It matches the Rfam family "Bacterial small subunit ribosomal RNA", at positions 506 to 784 of the family's 1533-position model. The record is from RNAcentral.
UGCCAGCAGCCGCGGUAAUACGGAGGGUGCAAGCGUUAUCCGGAUUUACUGGGUUUAAAGGGUGCGUAGGCGGUUUUUUAAGUCAGUGGUGAAAGCCUGGCGCUUAACGCCAGAAUUGCCAUUGAUACUGAAAAACUUGAGUCAAGAAGAGGUAAGUAGAAUUCAUGGUGUAGCGGUGAAAUGCUUAGAUAUCAUGAGGAAUUCCAAUAGCGAAGGCAGCUUACUGGUCUUUGACUGACGCUGAGGCACGAAAGCGUGGGGAGCAAACAGGAUUAGAUA